UACGGAGGGGGCUAGCGUUGUUCGGAAUCACUGGGCGUAAAGCGCACGUAGGCGGCUUUGUAAGUUAGAGGUGAAAGCCUGGUGCUCAACACCAGAACUGCCUUUAAGACUGCAUCGCUUGAACGUCGGAGAGGUGAGUGGAAUUCCGAGUGUAGAGGUGAAAUUCGUAGAUAUUCGGAAGAACACCAGUGGCGAAGGCGGCUCACUGGACGACUGUUGACGCUGAGGUGCGAAAGCGUGGGGAGCAAACAGGG
This 254-nucleotide ribosomal RNA is filed under the name uncultured bacterium. Its description in RNAcentral is "partial 16S ribosomal RNA". It matches the Rfam family "Bacterial small subunit ribosomal RNA", at positions 524 to 777 of the family's 1533-position model. The record is from RNAcentral.